CCUACGGGAGGCAGCAGUGAGGAAUAUUGGUCAAUGGACGAGAGUCUGAACCAGCCAAGUAGCGUGAAGGAUGACUGCCCUAUGGGUUGUAAACUUCUUUUAUCUGGGAAUAAAACGUUCCACGUGUGGGAUUUUGUAUGUACCAUAUGAAUAAGGAUCGGCUAACUCCGUGCCAGCAGCCGCGGUAAUACGGAGGAUCCGAGCGUUAUCCGGAUUUAUUGGGUUUAAAGGGUGCGUAGGUGGAUUGUUAAGUCAGUUGUGAAAGGUUGGGGCUCAACCGUAAAAUAGCAGUUGAUACUGGCAGUCUAGAGUAGGGGUGAGGUAGGCGGAAUUCGUGGUGUAGCGGUGAAAUGCUUAGAUAUCACGAAGAACUCCGAUUGCGAAGGCAGCGUACUAGACUGGGACUGACAUUGAUGCUCGAAAGUGUGGGUAUCGAACAGGAUUAGAUACCCGUGUAGUC
Molecule: ribosomal RNA, 460 nt
Filed under: uncultured bacterium
Lineage: Bacteria
Description: partial 16S ribosomal RNA
Rfam family: Bacterial small subunit ribosomal RNA
Source: RNAcentral